UACGGAGGGGGCAAGCGUUAUCCGGAUUUACUGGGUUUAAAGCGUGCGUAGGCGGGUUGAUAAGUCGGGGGUGAAAUCUCGCGGCUCAACCGUGGAACUGCCUUUAAGACUGUCGCUCUUGGAUCGGGUUGAGGCAAGCGGAAUUUGGAAUGUAGCGGUGAAAUUCGUAGAUAUUCGCUAGAACACCGGUGGCGAAGGCGACUGACUGGGCUCGUGGUGACGCUGAGGCACGAAAGCGUGGGGAGCGAACAGG
This 253-nucleotide ribosomal RNA is filed under the name uncultured bacterium. RNAcentral's name for it is "partial 16S ribosomal RNA". It matches the Rfam family "Bacterial small subunit ribosomal RNA", at positions 524 to 776 of the family's 1533-position model. The record is from RNAcentral.